GCCUGGGUGGCUCAGUCAGUUAAGCGUCUGACUUUGGCUCAGGUCACGAUCUCUUGGUUCAUGGGUUCGAGUCCCACAUCGGGCU
RNAcentral lists this transfer RNA (85 nucleotides) under Felis catus (domestic cat). It matches the Rfam family "tRNA". Rfam says of the family: Transfer RNA (tRNA) molecules are approximately 80 nucleotides in length. Their secondary structure includes four short double-helical elements and three loops (D, anti-codon, and T loops). Further hydrogen bonds mediate the characteristic L-shaped molecular structure. tRNAs have two regions of fundamental functional importance: the anti-codon, which is responsible for specific mRNA codon recognition, and the 3' end, to which the tRNAs corresponding amino acid is attached (by aminoacyl-tRNA synthetases). tRNAs cope with the degeneracy of the genetic code in two manners: having more than one tRNA (with a specific anti-codon) for a particular amino acid; and 'wobble' base-pairing, i.e. permitting non-standard base-pairing at the 3rd anti-codon position. The record is from Rfam by way of RNAcentral. Lineage: Eukaryota; Metazoa; Chordata; Mammalia; Carnivora; Felidae.